AGGUUCUGUCACUAAGCAUGAGGUACAGCUCCACAAACUUCAGCUGACUGAAUGGAUCCAGUACAGAGCCUCUUGCCCUUCAGCUGAGGGAGAGAUUCCAGUGCCUUCAGAGGGCAGUCCAACUCACCCUGCCUGAGUGGUGUCUCAUGCAGGAAGGAUCAAUCUUUCUUCAGAGCUACUCACUUCCCCAAGUUUAUUGGAGAGACAGCCUGGACAACUUGUUCAGAAGGGUCCCACCUUUUAGGACUCAUGCUGCAGCUAUAUCAGCAUUGGUGUGUGUGUGGCUUAGAAUGAAAACAAAGUGAAGAAAUACAGAUAGAAAGGUGAGAGAGAGAAUUGUAAGAGAAAGGGAGAGACAGAUUAAGGAGGGUGCUGAAAUAAGCUAUUCCUGUUGGUUUUGUCUGGUCUAUGAAAGCAGUACAAGGAGAGUACAGGCAAGCUGAUCCUCUACUGUGUUUCCUCUACCACACACUGGUUUCUCUAUUUACAUCACAACCUCUUUGUGCAGUGUAAUUGUCUAGCACAAUGGGGCCCUCAGUGGGAACCUCAAGGUAUUUCCAUCAUAAGAACAACAAACAAGAGCAAGGAAGAAGAACAAAAGGAGAAACACUGUGAUUACAAGAAUAGGUCCAAACUUCAUCAGACUGAAGAGUUCCAGAAUUUGGGACAUUUCAAAACUAAAAAUAGAAGCAAAUGAGAGGAUCCAACACUGGUUUUUAUCUUGAGCUGCAAUGUGUGUCUCCAAAGAGUCAUGGCAUGCACUGUAUGCCUUGCUUCUAUUGUCAGAACAUAUCAAGUGAGAGUACAGUGAAGCUCUAGAAAUUGUAGCGUGUCGAGCAUCAUCACAACCAAACGUUACAUCUUGCCUUGCACGGUCUUCUUCCCAAUAUUUAUGUUGUGAAAAUCCAGUUAGGAGUUUUACUCCUUUCCUACAAAUGAUUUAUUUUGUUUUCUUGGAACAAUAGGUCACAUUGUUUUUCUCCUUCGGAGCUUUCACUUUGAUGUGUUGGCUUUGACUGCUAGAGGAAAUGUUGCGGACCAGAAAAGAAGCAUUGCUGUGCUUCACUGUAAACAGCAGGUGCAACAGCUGCUGCAGGAAAGCCACUCGUUUUCCUGCUCCUUUUUGGGGAUGA
Long non-coding RNA from Passer domesticus (house sparrow), 1133 nucleotides. RefSeq lists it as uncharacterized. The record is from RefSeq and is a predicted model, not a curated record. NCBI's taxonomy places the organism in Eukaryota, Metazoa, Chordata, Aves, Passeriformes, Passeridae. The transcript has 4 exons.